GCUGAGUGGGGUAGCGCCUGCUUGUAGCCCGAGUGGGGGCAUAAAAGUGAUGGGACUCUGGGUCAACUAACUGAGUCGGGUCCAUUGAGGCUUCUCUCUGGCUCGCCCGUUCCAAGCAAGGAGCUGAGACACGGGUCUUGUACGAAGGUUCGAGUUUUGUGUCUCCUAUAGUGGAAGGCAACGCGUGAGGCUGGUUUCACAGAGCAGCGAUAACUUCCCUCUCUCUGCAGUGGAAGGAUGACGGGCCGGUGCCACUUGAAUCCACAAUGGCUCUGUGGGUUUUCCCUAAUCGGACCACCGCUUUU
This 305-nucleotide signal recognition particle RNA is filed under the name Gossypium barbadense (sea-island cotton). Its description in RNAcentral is "Plant signal recognition particle RNA". It matches the Rfam family "Plant signal recognition particle RNA". Lineage: Eukaryota; Viridiplantae; Streptophyta; Magnoliopsida; Malvales; Malvaceae. RNAcentral also lists the same sequence under 2 other names. The record is from Rfam by way of RNAcentral.